This 46-nucleotide transfer RNA is filed under the name Potamogeton friesii. RNAcentral's name for it is "partial tRNA-Leu". Lineage: Eukaryota; Viridiplantae; Streptophyta; Magnoliopsida; Alismatales; Potamogetonaceae. The record is from RNAcentral.
GCCGCCAUGGUGAAAUCGGUAGACACGCUGCUCUUAGGAAGCAGAA